Molecule: microRNA precursor, 192 nt
Filed under: Prunus dulcis (almond)
Lineage: Eukaryota; Viridiplantae; Streptophyta; Magnoliopsida; Rosales; Rosaceae
Description: sRNA ncRNA
Source: RNAcentral
AUGAGAGAGAGAAUGGAAGUGAGGAUGAGAUUGAGAGAGAUGAUGGGAGGGAGGAAGGAGUAAUAAAAGUGAAAGCAAUUUCAAAUAUAUUUCAGUUUUUAAAUUUUGUUUUCACUUUUGCUACUCAUCUAUCUCAUCUUCCAUCUCAAUCUCAUGUCCACUCUCAUUCUCACUUCCAUUCUCCUUCUUUUU